UACGUAGGGGGCUAGCGUUGUCCGGAAUCAUUGGGCGUAAAGCGCGUGUAGGCGGCCCGGUAAGUCCGCUGUGAAAGUCGGGGGCUCAACCCUCGGAUGCCGGUGGAUACUGUCGGGCUAGAGUACGGAAGAGGCGAGUGGAAUUCCUAGUGUAGCGGUGAAAUGCGCAGAUAUCAGGAGGAACACCAAUUGCGAAGGCAGCUCGCUGGGACGUCACUGACGCUGAGACGCGAAAGCGUGGGGAGCAAACAGG
Molecule: ribosomal RNA, 253 nt
Filed under: uncultured bacterium
Lineage: Bacteria
Description: partial 16S ribosomal RNA
Rfam family: Bacterial small subunit ribosomal RNA
Source: RNAcentral